This 253-nucleotide ribosomal RNA is filed under the name uncultured bacterium. RNAcentral describes it as "partial 16S ribosomal RNA". It matches the Rfam family "Bacterial small subunit ribosomal RNA", at positions 524 to 776 of the family's 1533-position model. The record is from RNAcentral.
UACAGAGGGGGCAAGCGUUGUUCGGAAUUACUGGGCGUAAAGGGCGCGUAGGCGGCGUGCUAAGUCGAACGUGAAAUCCCCGGGCUCAACCCGGGAACUGCGUCCGAGACUGGCAUGCUUGAAUCCGGGAGAGGGAUGUGGAAUUCCAGGUGUAGCGGUGAAAUGCGUAGAUAUCUGGAGGAACAUCAAUGGCGAAGGCAGCUCGCUGGAACGGUACUGACGCUGAGGCGCGAAAGCGUGGGGAGCGAACAGG